GUUAAUAAUAUGGUUUUCUAUCGUGCCAUCAACGCCGACCUCGAGGACUCAGGGACUCAAAAGGCAAAGACACCAGGUACUCCAAAGGCCUCCACGAGUACCACUGCGGCGACGACAAAAUCAGUUCUGCUUCCUUCGCCGAUCAUGCAUAAGGUGCUUUUGCCUCAACACCCGAAAUCGGAAAUCAGUUCUUGCCCCACACUUCCAAUGGCACAGUCAACCGUCACCUCCUCCCGGCCCAGGUUGUGGCAGCCAUCGUUAGACUGACCACCUUGGAAGCACGGCUCACCACUUCCGGGACCAGCACCCCAUCUUCCGCGGUUUCAAAGGUCCGUCGUGACCAGCUCCAGAACAUGUGGGCCAAGGUGGAUGCUGAGUUUGAGACCUGUUCGGUGCCAAUGCUGUGCGAGCCCCCUGAAGUCCAAAAGGAAGUUCAGGACAUGUAUGGCGAAUUCUAAGAGGCCUACGAGCGGUGCGUAGCGGACCUCAUUGCCCAAAUUGACCGCCCAGAAGUCCGUCCUCCCGUGCUGCAAGC
This 535-nucleotide long non-coding RNA is filed under the name Drosophila guanche. Lineage: Eukaryota; Metazoa; Arthropoda; Insecta; Diptera; Drosophilidae. The record is from RNAcentral.